GAUGAAGAACGCAGCGAAAUGCGAUAAGUAAUGUGAAUUGCAGAAUUCAGUGAAUCAUCGAAUCUUUGAACGCACAUUGCGCCCGCCAGUAUUCUGGCGGGCAUGCCUGUUCGAGCGUCAUUUCAACCAUCAAGCCCCCGGCUUGUGUUGGGGACCUGCGGCUGCCGCAGGCCCUGAAAACCAGUGGCGGGCUCGCUAGUCACUCCGAGCGUAGUAAUACAUCUCGCUCAGGGCGUGCUGCGGGUUCCGGCCGUUAAAAAGCCUUAUUUACCCAAGGUUGACCUCGGAUCAGGUAGGAAGACCCGCUGAACUUAAGCAUAUCAAUAGCGGAGGA
This 334-nucleotide unclassified non-coding RNA is filed under the name soil metagenome. RNAcentral describes it as "partial contains 5.8S ribosomal RNA, internal transcribed spacer 2, and large subunit ribosomal RNA". The stretch from base 1 to 120 matches the Rfam family "5.8S ribosomal RNA", at positions 35 to 154 of the family's 154-position model. The record is from RNAcentral.